This 3897-nucleotide long non-coding RNA is filed under the name Setaria viridis. RNAcentral describes it as "long non-coding RNA (SVIR_LNC008306)". Lineage: Eukaryota; Viridiplantae; Streptophyta; Magnoliopsida; Poales; Poaceae. The record is from RNAcentral.
CCCGUCGCGGCUCCGGCGGAUCGCUCGCGCAGAUCUGUACUCUGCUACGCGGCCGGCAUUGUUCCCCAGAAAGGAAAAGGGCUCGCCGUUCUUGAAAGCUACAGAUAACAGCACGGCGGUUUACGUUUAUUUACUUGCAUGGAUGGAGACAGUACGGCAACGAAAGCGGGGCUAACCGAUUGGGCGCGGCGUUCUACUGUUUCUGAGCAAAGCCUAGUCGGACUCUACACGAUCCAUCGAGCAAACGUUGGCGGUGGUUUUGUGCACAUGGACCAGAAACUGAUUCGGUGUUAUUUCUGUGCAAGGCGGCAAGUCGGGAGAUCGACAAUGGACAAUGCAAUGGAUCGGGUGAUCGACACGUCCUCAUGGAUAUUUGGGGGGAAAGGAGCUUCAGAUCUCCACCGUCGUGAGUCCGGAUCUGAUCCACCUAAACCACUACGUAGCAUACAUGCCUUUUCGGUUGACCUUGCUGCCAGCGGGCAGUGCCGUUCAUGCCGGAACGGUCUGCUCUACUGUCUAGCUUCGCCUAACAUUCACUAGCCAUCGCGUGCUCCUCACAUGGCUUCGAGCAUGACUGGCCGCUACCACAAAUUUAGUGUAAAAGGGACUGAACUGUCCUUUUACCCUGAACAGUAACGCGGGAAUGGUGGGGAAAAAAACUUUGAUCUCGGUACAGAAACUCACCUCAGCCACGGGCCACAGCCCUGCAGAGUUGACGAGCAUCAUCCUGCAUCUUGUCUCAAAGUUCCAAACCAUGCUGUCUGCCAUCAGUACCUGGAUGUGCUUCCCCCGGAUAAGAUGCAGCACUAUCAGGAACCUGCAGUUCGGAAAUUCAGGAUCCGCCGCCGCAGUAGGGAUAGGAAUGUCAGGGCCAGCUGUAGAAGAUAACAAAAUCAUGUUUCUGGAGGCUGAAUAAGUUCUUGUUCAGAGUAUACACGGACUUACCGUGCUUCUGAAUUCUGAUGGUGUAAAUCCGGCAGUCCUAAGUAAGCUAAACGUGCCAGAAAACGACACGGCGGCACAAGUCAAAUGCACAGUAGUGAUAGAAAGGGAACAGCCGCCAAAUUCUAGUCCAUGCAUCCACCCAAAAGAGUUGGUUCCUGCCGUAGUGCCGACGAUGGAAUUCUUCAGCCUGCCAGUCUCCCUACGGCCCCCUUUGGUAGGGUUUUGCCUCCCUCAGCUUCAGCUUCGUGGUACAGUGUUUUGGUACUGUAACGUGAAGUCGGUACGUGAAUCGAGGCAAAAAAAAUGAACUGGAAAGAGGUGAAAUGAAAAAAAUGACUUGCCUGGCUUCAACUUCGGCUCCGGCACGUGCCACACGAUGCGCUGCAGUAACGAAGCCGAAGCCCCUCAAGCCCUACAAAGGGCCCUACGUCGACAAAAUUCUUCGUUCCGGAGACCACUGAAGUAGUGAAGUUGAAGCCCACUAGCUCGAUGUAGUUUGGUCCACGCACACCAUGCGGCCGCCCAACAAGGACCGAUCGUUGCGUGUGUCUCUUGAGGUGCAAAGCCCAUCAGACUGCCAAUGCAAGUCAUUCGCGCUGGUUCAGAGGAGGGGUAGAGAACAUGUCAAAUCUGACCGAUCCCUCAGGCCACUAGAUAAGAUCUGAGCACAAAACUAGGACGGAAAGAGAAACGUACUACCUUUAUUUGUCAAUAUCAUGGGAUUUUCAUUCCUAAUUAAAACGUUAUAAAACUGCUGUUUCUGUUACUAACUAGUCAUGCUUAUUUAACUUCAAAACUAGCUACUACGCAAGCUACAAGCAUUUUUUUACAACAAGGUGGCAAUAGAAGGAAACCUAAAUCCUAAAUUUCAAAAUCUGCAAUAGUAUACAGAGAGUAUCGAGUUCAGGUUUUGGUGUUCCUUUAGUCACUUUGAAGAGACAGCCUUGCUAAUUGCAGUGCACCCAAGGCGAGAAAUUUGCUAAAGUACCUGCUUCGAAGUCCAACAGACCGGGAUUUGCGGCCCCGCGCAGCACGGCCCAGUCGGCGCUCGCACAUUCUCCCAGAUGUCCAGCAGCUCCCAACCCAAGAUAAUGGGUUUGGUAACAUCAAACUGAAGAUUCAAACGGCCACUAUAUAAGGCGCCAGAUGGAAGAGAUCGAGAGGCAAUCAAACCAACCAGUGAAGGGACCAAACACAUAGGCACCACAAGCAUGAAGGGCAUCGCCCUCCUCGUUGCUCUUGCGGCUGUGCUCGCAUCGUACUGCAGCGCCUCAUCGUCUCACCAUGCCUUCCCGUCGGCAGAAGCACCGGCUCCGGCACCCUAUGCCGAGGCGCCGGUGACGGCGCACCCUGGAUCCGAGCAUGGGAAGCCUCACCACCAUGGGUUGGCGCCGGUGGAACCACCGUCGUACCACGGCUCACCUCACCACAAGCACCAUGGUCAUCAUGGCCACCACCACCGCCACCACCAUGACCAUGGAGCUCCGCCAAGCCCUUCCCCUGCUCACCACCCUCCACCCCCUCAUCACCGCACGCCACCGCCUCAUUUUCCACCUCCCGCUCAUCACCAUGCACCACCACCACCAGCUCACCACGCACCGCCGCCUCAUUUUCCAACACCGCCUACUCAUCAUUCACCGCCACCGCCUUCUCACCAUGCACCGCCGCCUCAUUUUCCACCUUCCGGUCACCAUUCACCCCCACCCCCAGCUCACCACACGUCACCGCCUCAUUUCCCACCCCCAGCUCACCAGCCUUCUCACCAUGCACCGCCGCCUCAUUUUCCACCUUCCGGUCACCAUUCACCCCCACCCCCAGCUCACCACACGUCACCGCCUCAUUUCCCACCCCCAGCUCACCAUGCACCUCCACCUCAUUUCCCACCCCCUGCUCACCACUCGCCGCCAUCCCCAGCGCACCACUUGCCGCCCCCACCUCCAUCCCGCUACCCACCGCAUGUUCCAUCGCACAAGCAUUCGCCACCUCCAUCGCCUUCUCAUGGCAAGGCACCACCACCACGUGGCCACAGGAAAUUUCCCCCGGCGUAUUCAACUAUAGCACCCUCACCAGCUUAUUACAGUGCCAUCUCCCCUAGUAAUGCGCCUCUGGCAGGUCAAAAUGGAGCAUCACCACCUUGGUAUUUUUGAUGCUAGGAUCAGGAUGAACACUUUCCUGAGUUAUUAGUAAGAUCGCUGUUGAACUCUGCACAAGAGAUCAAAAUCUCAAUAGUUACCACGAAGGUUAUCCUUGCUUUUUCGUCAUACUUCAUUUCCAGCAAGAAGAUUACUGAAUAAUUAUGUACUUCAUUUGAAAAUCGUGUUGUUCAAGGAGUCGGGGUCCUAUCUCAAAAUGUUUCUUUGUCAGUUGGUGUCUAUGUUAUGGGAACCAUACUUCACAAAUUGUUCCAGUCCUUAAUCCUGUAUGUCGUUAUUGUCCAAUUUAUCACCUAGUUUUCUCUCUGUUCCUCUAAUCUCUGUAUGCCGGUGUUGUCACAUUCAUCAAGUAGGCUUUUCUCUGAUCCUCUAAUCUUAUUGCUGAUUACUGAUAGCAUCACUAGAACAAUGAAAUAUAACCUUAAUUAGUUCCAGUGUAAAAUGUAGAGGUAUGUCAUCCAAUAUACCAAAAAAGCUGAUUCAAACAUAGAGCACAAAUUCAAACAAAAACUUAUUUUAGAGGAAUCUCUCCCCCUUUAGUCUAUUUCAAUCAAACUCUGUAAAUCAUAUUAAAUUACAGCUCCAUGAUACCAAAAUGUUUUUCCUUCCCCAAAAGGAAGAGAGAUGUAGGGCAUGACCAUGAUGUAUGAUUACCAAAGUAGCUAAGAAAAAGGAUAUCAAUGAACUCACCUGAUGAAUCGUUCCAGCAAUAGAAAUCUCUGAGAGUGCUGAAUUAAAACCUGCUAUAAGAAAUCUUGAACAGAAUUUAGCUUAUCAUCAUUAACAUAACAGAUGAAAG